AUUGAACGCUGGCGGCACGCCUUACACAUGCAAGUCGAACGGCAGCACGGGAGCAAUCCUGGUGGCGAGUGGCGAACGGGUGAGUAAAGUAUCGGAACGUGCCCAGUCGUGGGGGAUAACGUAGCGAAAGUUACGCUAAUACCGCAUACGAUCUAUGGAUGAAAGCGGGGGAUCGCAAGACCUCGCGCGAUUGGAGCGGCCGAGAUCAGAUUAGGUAGUUGGUGGGGUAAAGGCUCACCAAGCCGACGAUCUGUAGCUGGUCUGAGAGGACGACCAGCCACACUGGGACUGAGACACGGCCCAGACUCCUACGGGAGGCAGCAGUGGGGAAUUUUGGACAAUGGGCGAUAGCCUGAUCCAGCCAUGCCGCGUGUAGGAUGAAGGCCUUCGGGUUGUAAACUGCUUUUGUACGGAACGAAAAGGUUUGGGCUAAUAAGCUGAGCUCAUGACGGUACCGUAAGAAUAAGCACCGGCUAACUACGUGCCAGCCGCCGCUGUAA
This 500-nucleotide ribosomal RNA is filed under the name uncultured bacterium. RNAcentral's name for it is "partial 16S ribosomal RNA". It matches the Rfam family "Bacterial small subunit ribosomal RNA", at positions 30 to 523 of the family's 1533-position model. The record is from RNAcentral.